This 433-nucleotide ribosomal RNA is filed under the name uncultured bacterium. Its description in RNAcentral is "partial 16S ribosomal RNA". It matches the Rfam family "Bacterial small subunit ribosomal RNA", at positions 29 to 507 of the family's 1533-position model. The record is from RNAcentral.
AACGAACGCUGGCGGCAUGCCUAACACAUGCAAGUCGAACGAGACCUUCGGGUCUAGUGGCGCACGGGUGCGUAACGCGUGGGAACCUGCCCUUAGGUUCGGAAUAACUCCCCGAAAGGGGUGCUAAUACCGGAUAAUGUCUUCGGACCAAAGAUUUUUCGCCUUUGGAUGGGCCCGGGUUGGUUUAGCUGGUUGGUAGGGUAAAAGCCUACCAAGGCGACGAUCCAUAGCUGGUCUGAGAGGAUGAUCAGCCACACUGGGACUGAGACACGGCCCACACUCCUACGGGAGGCAGCAGUGGGGAAUAUUGGACAAUGAGCGAAAGCCUAAUCCAGCAAUGCCGCGUGAGUGAGGAAGGCCUUAGGGUUGUAAAGCUCUUUUACCCGGGAUGAUAAUGACAGUACCGGGAGAAUAAGCUCCGGCUAACUCCGUG